GGUGAAUUUGGAAAGGUAGAGUUCUUUUACGCAGGCUAACUAAGAUUCUAAUGGUAUUGUUUUUAUUCUUUUCUCAGAUCGCAGCUGGAACAAACCUUGUCGGUUGGCAAUGUCUCCGAGGUCCUGUGCAACUUCACCAUCACUAUGCACGCCUGUUCCUCGGUACAUCUUUCUUUUUCGAUCAGCUAAGAGAGAUUCGACUUUUGCUACUUUGCCAUCCGGAGAAAUGGGUCUCUGUAAGCUCCUGGAUUCUUUGCCUAAUUUUUGGUUGUCUUUUUUUUCCCAAGGCUAAACAUCUCACACCCAGCAACUUGGCGGCACUACAGGCAUGCUCACUGGAAGGCCAAAGGACAUACCCGGUAGAGGUCUGGAAGCUUCUCUUCCAAAAGGCUUUGACUUCAUUAGACCAGGCUCUGGAAUUAUUUGCCACCACGGUAAAUCCAGUCCCACAAUUUCACAAAAUCUUUGCUUCCUUGUGGGAAUUCUGUGUAAUAACCAAGAUGACUUUUUCCAACCCCAGGCCGCCAACAACAGCUUCCCAAUAUUUCCACAUCUGCUCGAGGCCCUCGGAGAGGUUAGAAUUGCCAACUUCAGCGAGGCACAGCUGCAGAGUGUUGACUUUGUCAGCGGCUGGUUCCAGACAAAGUUGCGUCCGUUUUUGGCCUCUCCAUCCUCCAACUUCCUAUUCUGCCUGAGCUCCAAGAACUUCAGCUGCCAAACAUACCAGACUGUCAUCCAGGUAUUCAGCAGCCAAAGGCCAUCCAUGGAUGGGGAAAGACAGCGUGCAGUCUUCACUCAUUUCAUCAAACCAUUCCUGUCAAGAAAUGACUCAUCAGAUCCUGGCUGUGUCUCAUCUACCAACGGGAGCGGAGACUGGCUGCAGACAAAUAUUGGCGGCUUCUCUGAAUAUGCGACCCUGCAGGAUUUGAAAGGCCUCAAUCCCAACUUCUCAAGUGUGAGUGGAGACUGCAGUUGCUGCGUUUUCCCCCUCCCAAACGGAAAGUUCUCAGCUAUGGUUUUGGAAAUUACUGCUAUUUGAUUGCUUAAUGAUUUCUCUUCGUAGAACGAAUCGUUGUCGGCCCUCACUUCUGCUCAGUUGGCACAGCUGACACUGAGCUCAGGGGCGUCGAACGACACAGACCAAAUCGACCGUGUGUUUGGACGACUUGAGGUGGGCAAUGCUCUGGAAAAUGUGGAGGAAUUCCUGACAGAGCUGACAGCGAAAGGACAGGUACGUUACCCCUGACACUGGGGUAAGAAAGAAAAUCUGGGGGGAUUUUAACUGAACAAGGACGGUACUUAGAUCUUUUCUAAACCUUUGCAGCAGUUACAGGAGACCCAUUCACAUCACAUAUAUUGUUGCGUCCCUCCCAGUGUCCUGUUUGGUGUACUUGUUAACUGCAAGUUAAGUGUCUGCUGUUUAAGUCCUCUGGUUUUGUGAUUUGAAAGGAACCCGAUUUCCAACCUGCUGUGAGAGAUCGCGUAAUGAACAGGACCUUCCUCAUCAUCGGCCCCCAUUUCCCGCACUUUGAGACAAAGGACUGGUUUGUUUGGUUCCACGUGAAACUGGUUCCUGUCCUCGCCAGUUUCAGUGCAGUGAUGCUCGAGAAUGCAACCUCAAACAUGAACUGCUCCAACUACCAUGUUGUGUGAGUAGUGUCUUACAAACAAGCAGCACUACAGUGCACCAAAGUACAAUAAUACUGUUGAGGGUGCGCGUACGAAUGUUUUGUUUUUGCUCUUUUCAGUGUGAGCGGGCUGGCCAAAGCUUCCCCUGAAAUGCCGUUGCACAGACGACAAAAGAUCUCGGGUGUUCUGCUGGGCUACCUGAAAAGAUCUGCCAGUGUCAUCAACGAGCCAGGUAGGGUCGACAAAGUAAACUGCGCCACGUGCUCGCUUGUGUGGGCUUUUCCCAGGGCUUGACAUAUUCUUACAAAAUUGGGGUUGGGAAGAAAACUGGCACUGGAUUUGUAUCACGUUUAGCAAUAAAAAAAGAUCUCGCUAAAUGGUACCUACGCUAACCAUGAUCUACGGUCCUCAGUUUGUAGGCGGGGAAUUCAGAGUGACGCCCAAUGGAUUGCAGUAAACUUGGGUCCAUUUUCUCAAUUUACAUCAUACACUGACCUCCAAGUCUUCAACAUCACUGGGGUAAGUCGUACAUUUCCCUUCAAAUCUUCCAUGAAAAGAGCAGCGCAAAACUCAGAACGUCAAGGAGAAAAGCUUUUGUGUUUCCUCCGUUUGUGUCAUCAGGCGGCAGUUGUGGGACGUCCUCACGCCAAACCAGAAGGCUGAGCUGAUACUUGAUCCAAACAGCGGCGCUUUGCAGAAUGAGACCAUCGUACGGGAGGUGUUCAAAAGCUUGAACAAGUCCCACAAUGACGAGCAGCUCGGUCAGUUUUUCCUGGCUUUUACAGACAUCAACAAGAAGGUGAGUGCUUGAUUUUAAGAUUGCCAUGCUCUCCGAUAUAUAGUUGCCUGCCAAACAGGCCGUGUAAAAGUUGCCCUUUGCUCUGGGAAUGUUUGCAGAAGCUAAUAGG
Long non-coding RNA from Scophthalmus maximus (turbot), 2537 nucleotides. NCBI's taxonomy places the organism in Eukaryota, Metazoa, Chordata, Actinopteri, Pleuronectiformes, Scophthalmidae. The record is from Ensembl.